This 253-nucleotide ribosomal RNA is filed under the name uncultured bacterium. Its description in RNAcentral is "partial 16S ribosomal RNA". It matches the Rfam family "Bacterial small subunit ribosomal RNA", at positions 524 to 776 of the family's 1533-position model. The record is from RNAcentral.
UACGAAGGGGGCUAGCGUUGCUCGGAAUUACUGGGCGUAAAGGGCGCGUAGGCGGCCCUGUUGGUCGGGCGUGAAAUCCCCGGGCUCAACCCGGGGGCUGCGCCCGAAACGGCGGGGCUGGAGGCAAGGAGAGGCUCGCGGAAUUCCCAGUGUAGAGGUGAAAUUCGUAGAUAUUGGGAAGAACACCGGUGGCGAAGGCGGCGAGCUGGCCUUGAACUGACGCUGAGGCGCGACAGCGUGGGGAGCAAACAGG